GACGAACGCUGGCGGCGUGCUUAACACAUGCAAGUCGAACGGAAAGGCCCCCUUGUGGGGUACUCGAGUGGCGAACGGGUGAGUAACACGUGAGUAACCUACCCUUGACUUUGGGAUAACUUCAGGAAACUGGGGCUAAUACCGGCUAGGAGCUCCUGCUGCAUGGUGGGGGUUGGAAAGUUUCGGCGGUUGGGGAUGGACUCGCGGCUUAUCAGCUUGUUGGUGGGGUAGUGGCUCACCAAGGCUUUGACGGGUAGCCGGCCUGAGAGGGUGACCGGCCACAUUGGGACUGAGAUACGGCCCAGACUCCUACGGGAGGCAGCAGUGGGGAAUAUUGCACAAUGGGCGGAAGCCUGAUGCAGCAACGCCGCGUGCGGGAUGACGGCCUUCGGGUUGUAAACCGCUUUCGCCUGUGACGAAGCGUGAGUGACGGUAGUGGGUAAAGAAGCACCGGCUAACUACGUG
Molecule: ribosomal RNA, 465 nt
Filed under: uncultured bacterium
Lineage: Bacteria
Description: partial 16S ribosomal RNA
Rfam family: Bacterial small subunit ribosomal RNA
Source: RNAcentral